GGCGGCGUGCCUAAUACAUGCAAGUCGAACGAAACUUCUUUAUCACCGAGUGCUUGCACUCACCGAUAAAGAGUUGAGUGGCGAACGGGUGAGUAACACGUGGGCAACCCGCCCAAAAGAGGGGGAUAACACUUGGAAACAGGUGCUAAUACCGCAUAACCAUAGUUACCGCAUGGUAACUAUGUAAAAGGUGGCUAUGCUACCGCUUUUGGAUGGGCCCGCGGCGCAUUAGCUAGUUGGUGGGGUAAAGGCUUACCAAGGCAAUGAUGCGUAGCCGAACUGAGAGGUUGAUCGGCCACAUUGGGACUGAGACACGGCCCAAACUCCUACGGGAGGCAGCAGUAGGGAAUCUUCCACAAUGGGCGAAAGCCUGAUGGAGCAACGCCGCGUGGGUGAAGAAGGUCUUCGGAUCGUAAAACCCUGUUGUUAGAGAAGAAAGUGCGUGAGAGUAACUGUUCACGUUUCGACGGUAUCUAACCAGAAAGCCACGGCUAACUACGUGCCAGCAGCCGCGGUAAUACGUAGGUGGUAAGCGUUAUCCGGAUUUAUUGGGCGUAAAGGGAACGCAGGCGGUCUUUUAAGUCUGAUGUGAAAGCCUUCGGCUUAACCGGAGUAGUGCAUUGGAAACUGGGAGACUUGAGUGCAGAAGAGGAGAGUGGAACUCCAUGUGUAGCGGUGAAAUGCGUAGAUAUAUGGAAGAACACCCAGUGGCGAAAGCGGCUCUCUGGUCUGUAACUGACGCUGAGGUUCGAAAGCGUGGGUAGCA
This 766-nucleotide ribosomal RNA is filed under the name uncultured Bacillota bacterium. Its description in RNAcentral is "bacterial SSU rRNA". It matches the Rfam family "Bacterial small subunit ribosomal RNA", at positions 38 to 770 of the family's 1533-position model. Lineage: Bacteria; Bacillati; Bacillota. The record is from RNAcentral.